GCGAACGCUGGCGGCAGGCUUAACACAUGCAAGUCGAGCGCCGUAGCAAUACGGAGCGGCAGACGGGUGAGUAACGCGUGGGAACGUGCCUUCUGGUUCGGAAUAACUCAGGGAAACUUGAGCUAAUACCGAAUAAGCCCUUCGGGGGAAAGAUUUAUCGCCAGAAGAUCGGCCCGCGUAAGAUUAGCUAGUUGGUGAGGUAAUGGCUCACCAAGGCUACGAUCUUUAGCUGGUCUGAGAGGAUGAUCAGCCACACUGGGACUGAGACACGGCCCAGACUCCUACGGGAGGCAGCAGUGGGGAAUAUUGGACAAUGGGCGCAAGCCUGAUCCAGCCAUGCCGCGUGAGUGAUGAAGGCCUUAGGGUUGUAAAGCCCUUUUAGCGGGGACGAUAAUGACGGUACCCGCAGAAAAAGCCCCGGCCAACUUCGUGCCAGCCGCCGCGGUAAU
This 449-nucleotide ribosomal RNA is filed under the name uncultured bacterium. RNAcentral's name for it is "bacterial SSU rRNA". It matches the Rfam family "Bacterial small subunit ribosomal RNA", at positions 29 to 524 of the family's 1533-position model. The record is from RNAcentral.